GUUCGACCGUCAACUGCAUAAUCUCGCAUCUGGCCAAGAGUUGGCAAAGUCUACACAAAAAACCAAAACACAUUAGAUGGACAGGUGCCGUCCAUACCUUUGGGAGCUCAUCUCUACAAGUUUGGGUUCUCGGUAUCAACCACUAAAAAGAAGAAAAAAAAACGCCUCCAUUAUGGGUGUGACAGAUUAUUUGCCGUCAAUAUCGAAUAUGUUCAACAGUAAUUCAAAAGAAAAAAAUUCCACCUAUGGCUUCAUUCAAAUCAUUUCCAAUCCAGCAGGAGCGACCAUAACUUCUGGAGCUGUAGUGGGCAUUUUUGUGUCUGGCAUUGCCACUGGUUUGGCUAUUGCAGCAGUCGUUGGAUUGGGUGCCACAACAUACAUUUGUUACAAUCAAAUGAAUACAAUGAAGACCCAAAUUACAGAAACUGCACACCGAGAACACCAUAAGCAACCGACCGGCUGCGUCAAUUGACUGAAGAUUCAUGUCUUUAGUUUAUCCUUCUUAGCCACUUUACCACUUUCAUUAGCCUACUGGUAAAAUACACAUGUUUCUAUGGCA
RNAcentral lists this long non-coding RNA (559 nucleotides) under Daphnia pulicaria. Its description in RNAcentral is "uncharacterized LOC124316067, transcript variant X3". The record is from RNAcentral. Lineage: Eukaryota; Metazoa; Arthropoda; Branchiopoda; Diplostraca; Daphniidae.